UACCCACGGCUCUUCCGUAGGAUAACAGAACUAGAGAGUCGAGUGUCUCCGGCCCCGCAUCCUAGAGAUGGGUGGGCAGCGCACCCAGCCCUGACUGUGGCCUCUGGCUAUGCCCUGCGUAUGCAGGCAUAUUUCUAAAAGUCUGAUCUAACAACUGAAAGGAGGUUCAGAUGAUGCCUUACUUUCUUGAAGGCCAAUCAAGAGGUCCACUUUGUUUGCCGAAAGAACACACUCAGAUCCCCAUCAGGCUUCCUCUCAAUUCCCUUGCCUCCUGCAUGGUCUGGAGCCGCCCUCCUGGGAUCCCCAGCUCCAGGAACUCUCAGUUUCCUGCCUAUUCCCUCUCGUCCGUCCUCCCUUUGCACCCCUGACCCCGCUUCUCCCUUCACAUUCACCACAUCCUUUGAAUUGGUAACACAGAGCCCCAUGGACUGGAGUAGCAGGCCAAAGAUCCUGUGAUUCCCCCAAAAUGUCCUUUAAUAAAGGCGGGUGGAGGAUGUGGCGGCCGAGACCUCGCAGUGCCAAUGACUCUCACGUGCUUCGCGUGUUGUCGGGGACUGUCACCCGCACCUCGAGGGGACAGCAUCCCCUCAGCCCUCCCAGGGCGGACCUCCUGCCUCCCCGACAGAAGCUUCCUCCUGGCCAUCUCCCCUGUCUCAUCUGUAAGUGCUUCCAGACCCUUCACCCACUCACCCUGUUGGCUCACUUUGUGUUUCUGUGCUCUGGACCGAUGUCGGCAGAAAGCAGCAGGACCGUCUGAAUGAGCUGAGGGCCAGCCUGGCAGCAAGAAUGUGCGAAGACAGCAGGGCCUGGGCUCAUGGCUGCCUCCUCUCCUCCUCAUGGCCAGGAUCGCUGCUCCAACACCAGCUCCCAUUUGCAGCCCUUUCUGCUCCAUAGAUUCCCUCUCCUUUACACGUUGUUGUUGCUCCAUUAGGUGACUCAGCCAGCUGUGCCUCAUUUCCUGCCUCCCACGACUCCACUCCAUGUGGCCACAGCCUCUGUCACCGUUCCUCUCAUGCCCAGCGAGGAUCCUCAUCACACAGGAUUUUUUGAACAGCUAGUUGUAUAUGUGUGUAUUCUGUGUGCCGAGUCUUCACAGAUUCUGAAAGGAAGACUUCAGAUAGAGUCCUAGAAUCCCUGCGGGUCUGUCGCUAUCCGCGGUGCUGAACCUACAAGUCCACACGUGGAUGCUUCCCGCCUGCAAGGGGAAAAUAAAUCAACCGAAUCUUUAGAUUUCGUAAGGACCUACAGACCUUGUAAACGCUAUCGAUCCUAUCCUAUGCUUAUGAACCAAACAACGCAGCCAGAUUUAAAGAAGCAGGUUUCCUUGGGCCAGGGAUUUAGCUCAGUGGUUUCGCCGACUGCUGCGCAAGCGCAAGGACCCGAGUUCAAUCCCCGGUACCAAAAAAACAAAAAAAAACCCCAAAACAAAACAAAACAAAAAUAGAGAAGCAGGUUUCCUAUAGAAGUUAUAACAAUGGCAUUUUGGAGCUCUCUUCCUUAGCAUUGUAUUCAAAAGCUGGAACAUUUCUUGUCCCAGAUUGGAUUCUUUUUUGAGCGAAUAGUAAAUGUGAUCACCAUUCCUAAGGCAGAGAAUAUGGAUUGAAAAUGACUCCUGGUACGAGAGCAGAAGCUCAGGACCCUGCCUGCCAAGGCUCCCUGUGCUGACCAGCUGUCACUUCUGCCAAGCAGGACUGCCUUACAGGGUUCUUGUGAGGAUCAAGAACUAACAUGCAGAAGAAUUUAAAAAUGAACUUCAACAUGGACCGUGUCAUGUUCUGUCAUUAUUAUUCCUCCUUUCCACUUGCUUUGAUAAGAUGAUUUAUGACUAAUGUACACAAAUUACAAAAUCAUGAUAGAAAUUUAGUAAGUGCUUAUUAUGUACCAGAAUUAUUAAAUUACCAAUUCCUUUGGAAAGCUAUGAUCUAGGUACUAUAUCAUCAUCAUUAUAAAAUGAAGCAAUUCACAGUCACAAUGGCUAUGCUGACUCCCCAAAGUUGUAUUUUUAAAACUCAGAUAAAAAAAGACUCAGAUUCAAG
Molecule: long non-coding RNA, 2036 nt
Filed under: Heterocephalus glaber (naked mole-rat)
Lineage: Eukaryota; Metazoa; Chordata; Mammalia; Rodentia; Bathyergidae
Description: lncRNA (ENSHGLG00100051394.1)
Source: RNAcentral